This 253-nucleotide ribosomal RNA is filed under the name uncultured bacterium. Its description in RNAcentral is "partial 16S ribosomal RNA". It matches the Rfam family "Bacterial small subunit ribosomal RNA", at positions 524 to 776 of the family's 1533-position model. The record is from RNAcentral.
UACGUAGGGUGCAAGCGUUAAUCGGAAUUACUGGGCGUAAAGCGUGCGCAGGCGGUUGUGUAAGACAGAUGUGAAGUCCCCGGGCUCAACCUGGGAACUGCAUUUGUGACUGCACGGCUGGAGUGCGGCAGAGGGGGAUGGAAUUCCGCGUGUAGCAGUGAAAUGCGUAGAUAUGCGGAGGAACACCGAUGGCGAAGGCAAUCCCCUGGGCCUGCACUGACGCUCAUGCACGAAAGCGUGGGGAGCAAACAGG